CAAAAACAAAAACACCCCUUCAGGAACCAAAGUAGUUCUAGUACCCGGCAAUUAGCACGAGAUUCUGAAGGGCUUCAUUGCACCAUCUCUCAAGCCCAGGGCUUGUCAUUCAGACGUCACCAUCCUCUUAGAAAGAAGAAUAAACAGUGGAAAAUAGGAGCCUCUCUUGUCCAGUUGAUGUGGAUAUUUCCCCGUGCAUGGUGUAGCCAGUGGG
Ailuropoda melanoleuca (giant panda) is the source of this 214-nucleotide long non-coding RNA. RefSeq lists it as uncharacterized. The transcript is spliced from 3 exons. The record is from RefSeq and is a predicted model, not a curated record. NCBI's taxonomy places the organism in Eukaryota, Metazoa, Chordata, Mammalia, Carnivora, Ursidae.